Molecule: long non-coding RNA, 1073 nt
Organism: Enhydra lutris kenyoni (northern sea otter)
Lineage: Eukaryota; Metazoa; Chordata; Mammalia; Carnivora; Mustelidae
Exons: 3
Source: RefSeq, a predicted model, not a curated record
CUCCUCGGGGGAGGAGGCGGGGCGGGCGGAGGUGGAGGACGGGCCGCGCCUGGAGCUCCACUCCCGGGAGGAGGCUCGGGACUGGGUCGAGGACAGGGCGGGCAGGCCGGCGUCCGUCGGCGGGCAGCCCUGGUGCAUUUCCCCGGGACCCGGCUCGGCUUUUGGCUCGCGGAUCCACCUCCGCCUCGUCCCCCGGCUCUGGCGCAGCGUCUGGCCUGGGCGAAAACCUCUACAGACCCUAGGAUUGCCGUAGGUCAGCAGUCCCCACUGGAGAAAAAAAUCUUGAAUCUGGGUGGCGUGCAUACAGCAGCGGCAAGACAGCUGAUAACUCGGAAAUACCAUGAGGAAUAUGAAACAUUGUGCAGGGAGCAAGCUCUUUCUCUUGAUCACUGGCUGGCCAAAGCGGAGUCUUAUUAUAAUAAGAGAAUAAUGGACAUGAUGAAGGAGCAAGAGACAGGCCAUGAAGUCAAGAAGAGAUGGGAGGGGAAGACGACCCACAGGCUAGAGAGACCAAAGCAGUAUUACUUGGUUCCGGAGAGAGAGGUGAAACACAUAGAAAGGCACAUUCAGAGAGCGGGUCGGGUCAGAGAGUCUAAGAACAAACCAGGUAAACAAUUACCACGGCCCCCUAGUGAGACAACGUUCCCCAAAAUCGUGCCAGAAGAGCAUGGUGUCCUGAGCGCACAGAGAAGAAAGCAGGUGAGCGAGAGGGAACAGAUGCAGAUCCAAGGUCACCAGCAACGCAUGCUUCGGGGGAGAGAGCUCGCGGAGCAAAGGCGCAAGGAGAGAGUCUUGAGGAAAACCCAGAGCCAGCUGCUGACACGAGAGAGGCGUGGGAGAGCAAGGAGAGAGAUCAAAGAGCUUGAAAGUGUGACUGCGUAUCCCCUUUUCCAGCCACGCGGUAGAAGCCGGAUUAAAGUGACUGUCCUUAUGGAAAAGAAUAGAGAAGAAGCGCCUGCCAUCAUAAAACCACAUCAAAGAAAAUUCUUAACCAUGCCACCCUUUCUGAGAAGCCAAAUAGGAAAAAUAAAAGACUAGUAAAGUUUCAGUGCUUUGAGAAUAAAACCCGUGUC